This 1483-nucleotide long non-coding RNA is filed under the name Canis lupus dingo (dingo). Its description in RNAcentral is "lncRNA (ENSCAFG00020002540.1)". Lineage: Eukaryota; Metazoa; Chordata; Mammalia; Carnivora; Canidae. The record is from RNAcentral.
AUGGACCAGCCGCUCCGUGGGGAGGACUCCGGACCCUCGUGGGGGGAUGGGGGGCCCUGCCGCCCCCGAGGCGGAGGGACCCUAAGAGGGGGGAUUCGGGCCUGCCCUCGGGGUUGGGGAGGGCCGGGAGCUUGGGAAGAGGUCUGAGCUCGUCAGAGGGGACUUCGCAGAACUUGUUUUUUCGGCUCUGAGCCGGACACCGGAAUGAAGUUUGGGGCGGAGAUUGCUCACAGCAGCGGCCUCUUCGCCGAGAAUCACCGCCCGCCAGGCGUCCUGCGGCCACACCCUGGCGGGCCCCGGCUGGCUACGCCCACGCGGCCCCUUCAGUCCCGUCGGCCUGGCCAAUGGAGGAUCUGCAAAUGUCACGACCUGCCCGGGCUUGGCAGUCGCCGGUCGCACCGGGCCUGGACGCCUGGGAAGACUUUGUUGCAAGGGGAGGCGGGGAGAAGGCGCUGCACCCAUGCCAGCCUCUCUUCCUGGAGUCGUCGAACCACAGCGCAGCCAAUUGGCUCAGAGAUGUGGCGGUUUGCCGGUUCCCUAUGGGUCUAUGCGGUACUCUUCUGCCUAGUGACUGACACCUUGGAAAUGAAGCCUAUGACGUCAUCGCUCCAGCGAACCAAUAGGAAACGCUCCCGCGGAGAGGUGUUCCGCCCCUUUCGACUCUGCUUCUUCACGCGCGUGAGCGAGCGUGCGCGCGCGGAGGGGGUGGGGGAAAUCUCGAACACGGUGGCGCGCAUGAGCGGCGAAGCUCCUCCUCCCUGCCUAUAUAUAAAGGGCUGGCGCGGGGCUCGGCGGCGCCAUUUCGCGCUGGAGUGGAGCAUCCUCUAGAACGAGCUGGAGGAUUCUGCCUACUGAUAGCCUUCGAGUCGUCGGGGGCCGCCAUUGCAAUCCACGUCCAUCCGUUUGGAAAUGGCCUUCGUCUCGGCCUAUGACCGGUCCCGGCGGACAGUACAGACCCCAUAGAAGCCCCCGACGCUCCCCUUUUUCGGGCCCCGCCCAAUCCUCGGAGUCUGUCCACCCCCUCUACUCCGCCCUCAAGAGGAUUUCAAAGAUGGAGGCGGCGGCUCCCUAAACCACUUUUCGUGUUCAUCCGCCUCCAUCCGAGAUCGAAACGGGACCUCGUCCGCUGCGGGCAGUCCCAGCAGGAAGAGGGGAUCCUUGCAGAUCAACAGCGGGCAGUAUUGACGACGGUGUCCGGGAUUGGGGGCCGUCCUAGUGUUUGAGGAGUCCGUCCCCCCUUGCCCGCCUCUGCUGAGGCCGCCGCCAUUUUCUCGCUGUCCGCCUCCCGCGGAGCGCGCCAAGCUGCUGGGAGCUCUCCGAGAAGCAGCGGAGAAGACUGCUUUCGUGCCGGCCCGACGGGGGCGGGAGUUGUCGACUGGAGGGCCAAGGGCAGGGGCCCUCCACCCCCCCACUUCCCGGGUUAUGCUGGAGCGGGCGGUAAGGGGAACCGAGGCCACCCGGACUUUCCGCGGCUGAGGGCAGC